AAUAAAUGAAACAAGAUCGGUAAAAUCUUUAUUACUUCGAAACCGUCGAACAGGCUUUAUCAAAUCCUUGAUCAUAAAUUAAAAAGUAAGUUUCCUCGUGGCGGGGAUUCCGAGACGGGCCAACGGUGUGCUCAAGAGACAUCAAAGAGAGACGAGGUUAUCGCGGCCGGCCGAUGACGUUAAAAGUUCUGGUUCGCGGGAGAUCAAGUCGCCCGAGGCGAUGUUUCCAUCGGAGGGAAGCCCUUCCCGUCGUUCCCGGGGGCCGUGAUUAAAAUUAUUGCCCUACCCAAAGUCAACACGCCGUACAAACAAAGGAUAAACACAUUCGCGGGCACCGGUACACGAGAAGUGGCACGAUUAGCAUCGCAAAAUAUUUCUCGUCUGUUCCGUCGAGUGUCGCUGUUGUCGUUCAUAGCGCGCGCGCGAGAAGCAGGCAUACUUUUUACAUUGCUUUCCUCCUCUUUGUGAUCUCUUAAAGCAAUGGAGGAACAAAAGGUAAAAGAAGACAAGGAAAGAGAAAUGAGGCAGGAGAGCAGAAACUAUAGAAGAAAAAGUAAAGAGCUUUGGUAGAAAGUUGCCUCGGGCGAGCUUUUUAGUUAUGGACAAGUUGCACGACUGGUGAUGAGCAAAAGAGGCAAUUUGUUGGAAGACAAGCGCUUUCGUUGUGAUACAUUUAGGAUUUGUCGUGAGCUUGAUCCUAAUGCUCUGUCCUUUUCUCGCUUGGUUUACCUUGUCUUCUCUCGUGGAGAAAGUGGUGGGGGAAGUGCUUCUUGCCUCUAUUCCUUUCCACUGUAUCCCCCUCUCUUUACCGUCACCCUACUAUGUUCUCUUUCUCUUUUGCCCCGAAGGUUUUUGCUCGUGAGCGACAAUCGGUGUUAAAAUGCGUGAAUGCACUCCAAGCACGCACGCCUGCUUCUACACGAGCACGCGGCAGAGACCUCUCGAAAACAAACAGCGGUUUCUCGUCCCGUAGCCAACGUGACUUAAUUAAUGAAAGCGCGCGAGAAGCGUCGACAAAGUCGUCUUUGUCGAGAAGUUCACGGGACUGGGUCAAUAAAGACGCGGGACCGCUGAUCGAUCAUUUCGAUUAGUCAUACUCUUCAAUCGAUCGAUUCGCUUCGACCUACCGAUCGAGUUCGCGAAGGAAUCUAUUACGAAUCUGAAGUUCGAUUGAGACCGGAGUUCACGAUUAGAGAAGUUGACAGUGAUUUGUCGGACGAGUCGAUUACAUUCCUAGUGAAUUGAUUCGCGAGUUAUAUGUCGAACUAUGCUAACUCGGAAGGAUGACUAAGUUAUUUUUUGCUCUGGAAUGAAUUGAAUGUGGGACUCACUGUUCUCAUAUAUGGAUAUUGCAUACGUGGAACAUAGAUUUUUUAGAAAAAGAUACUUUUUAAUAU
Molecule: long non-coding RNA, 1397 nt
Organism: Apis florea (little honeybee)
Lineage: Eukaryota; Metazoa; Arthropoda; Insecta; Hymenoptera; Apidae
Source: RefSeq, a predicted model, not a curated record